UACGAAGGAUCCAAGCGUUAUCCGGAUUUAUUGGGUUUAAAGGGUGCGUAGGCGGCCUGUUAAGUCAGGGGUGAAAGACGGUAGCUCAACUAUCGCAGUGCCCUUGAUACUGAUGGGCUUGAAUGGACUAGAGGUAGGCGGAAUGAGACAAGUAGCGGUGAAAUGCAUAGAUAUGUCUCAGAACACCGAUUGCGAAGGCAGCUUACUAUGGUCUUAUUGACGCUGAGGCACGAAAGCGUGGGGAUCAAACAGG
Molecule: ribosomal RNA, 253 nt
Filed under: uncultured bacterium
Lineage: Bacteria
Description: partial 16S ribosomal RNA
Rfam family: Bacterial small subunit ribosomal RNA
Source: RNAcentral